AUGCCUUCUCCUUUACAGCGCGAUGGGCGGAAGCUGGCCACAGCCCUGCCCAACUGCAGCCUCUUCCUGUACUACGCACUGGGCCGGCAAUUUUACGUCAUGGAGAAGCUGGCCGAUCGCUGGUUCCGAGCGCGGGACCGGGUCACCGGGGAGAGCAUGCUGAUGAAAAAGGUGCCCGUGGUCUCCGACUGGAAGAAGAUGUUACACAAUUUCCUGUUCCUGCCCCCUCACCCCACGUUGCUGGUGCCCUACGCCGUCCUGUACGACCGCAGCGGCUCCAUCCUCUACCUCAUGGAGGACAGGGACGUGUGCGGUGAGCGCCCGGCAGGGCACGGGGGGCACCGGGCUGCAGUGGAGAGGUUCCUGCCCUCGGCCCACCAGCAUCCCGUUAAUGGAGGGAAGGCAGGCGAGCGCCGAGAUCCCCAGCACCUGGCCCAGCUCAGGCUGGAGUCGCCUUGGGGAGGCUCUGGCCCGUCUGGCUCUGGAAACAGCUGAGACCCUGGAGCGGCAAGCGGGAGGCUGGGUGCCCAGUGGCUCCCAGAGGCGGGAUAUGGGCUAGUGGGGCCCCUGGGCUCCCAGGAGUGUGGGGCAGGAUCCCAACUGAGAGCCGGUUCUCUGGGCAGCCCCUUUGCUCCCUGGAGCUGGGAGCUGGGGCCACUUGGCCCUGCUGGGACGCGGUGGUCCCCGAGUCUAAACCGUGGGUGCUGGCAGAUCCCUGGUCCCAGAAGAGGGUCGCCCUGGCUGGAGCGACGGGGCAGCCUGGGCCAGCGGGGUCCCGGUCGCUGAUCUGUCUCCUCUGCCCUCCUCAGCGGUGGGGCGGCCGCCCGAGGGGCCCGGCCUGGAGGGAGCUCGAGCCCUGCGGGAGGUGCUGAGCUUCCUGAGCUUCUGCAAACGCCACCACUUCCACCCCGGGGACGUCGGCGCAGCCUCCAUCUACACGGCCCAGGUGGGGCUCGCUCCUCUCCCAGGGCUGCCAGGCCGCCUGUUCUCUGCACAUGGGGCUUCCCGCAGCCCAUCC
This 1018-nucleotide long non-coding RNA is filed under the name Gopherus agassizii (Agassiz's desert tortoise). RNAcentral's name for it is "lncRNA (ENSGAGG00000003098.1)". The record is from RNAcentral. Lineage: Eukaryota; Metazoa; Chordata; Testudines; Testudinidae.